GAAGGUGCUCAUCACCGCCCCCGGCAAGGGUGACAUCCCCACCUACGUCGUCGGCGUCAAUGCCGACCAGUACAGCCCCGACGAGCCCAUCAUCAGCAACGCCUCCUGCACCACCAACUGCCUCGCCCCCUUCGUGAAGAUCCUCGACCAGAAGUUCGGCAUCAUCAAGGGGACGAUGACCACCACCCACUCCUACACCGGCGACCAGAGGCUGCUCGACGCGAGCCACCGUGACCUCCGGCGCGCGCGUGCGGCGGCGCUGAACAUCGUGCCGACGUCCACCGGCGCGGCCAAGGCCGUGGCGCUGGUGCUCCCGAACCUCAAGGGGAAGCUCAAC
Molecule: unclassified non-coding RNA, 337 nt
Filed under: Hevea brasiliensis (rubber tree)
Lineage: Eukaryota; Viridiplantae; Streptophyta; Magnoliopsida; Malpighiales; Euphorbiaceae
Source: RNAcentral